Molecule: long non-coding RNA, 2911 nt
Organism: Paramisgurnus dabryanus
Lineage: Eukaryota; Metazoa; Chordata; Actinopteri; Cypriniformes; Cobitidae
Source: RefSeq, a predicted model, not a curated record
UCUGUAUAACUGUAACACUAAAAUAUGAUUUUUAUUGAUUUGGAUGUUUUUUUUUUUUGUGAAAAAUAAAUGCUGAUGUCGCCUACAUCCCAGAGAGGAGUUACAUACGAUCCGAAUGCUGCAUGUGUUACAUAAGAUCUGAACAGUACAUCAAAAUGCAAAUGAUAAAGUGAGAAUAUUCUCUGUUUAGGUGAAAUCAGGUCCAUGAUUUCACCACAAGAGGGCGUAAUUUCAACCCUAGAUUACUUCUUUGUUAAAGGUGCCAAAGAAUGCAUUGAAAUAAUAUGUUAAAUUGUUGUUUGAUUUUACAAAGAAGGCAUGUAACUUUAAUAAGUGCAACAAUAAUCUAGAAACGUUUUUACAUGUCCAUUUACAACCCUACACUGUAAACAAUUGCUGUAAAUUAACAGCCAAUUUUCAACACUAAAAUACUGUUUUCAUGUUAAACAGUUUAGUACUGUAGUUAGCAAUGCAUUGUGGGCUGCUUAAAUUGGAGCAACAAGACAGAGGCCCUCAACAGUAAGUUGAUGUUUUAAAUUACAGGACAAUACAGUAUUUUUUUGAAAAUGCGUGUUGACUGGGGAAUUUGGAGCAUGGUCAGAAGCUAAGCAAUGUCUUAUAAAUUGAGGCUAGCCUAUUGCUUUUGGUCAAUUUUCUUUAAAAAAAUACAGAAAUAAUUUGCCAUUAACUCCUGGAUGGAAUUUCGGAAACCAUUAUUUGGAUUGGAGAUUUUUCAGAAGAGGACGUACAAUUUAGAUGACGUGCUGCACAUUCUCAAGUGUUCUUCAUCAAAUUCAUUGGGUCUUGCAUCUACAAAUGAAACGGUAAUUCAAAUCUUAUUCAUAUUGCCAAGAAUGCUUGAUAUCAACUGAUAGAAGCUUGUCUUGCUAGGGAUUUAAACAUGUCAUUUAACAGUGAGGCUUAGAUUUGAAUAGCCAAAACAAUAUUACUUUUGAGUGGUAUUUUGUUUAAUUUUGGUAACGUUAGCCAUAGGCUACUUCUGAAUUUGAGAAACAACACUUAUUAAAGAAUUUAUUUCAAUCAAACCAUAGGAUUAUAUGAACAUCGACUAUCCGAGAUGGUUUUGGUGAGUUUUAUUUUGUUUGUGUCGACUUUUAAUGAAAAGUAUUUUACAAACAGUUAACAAGAAAAUAAAGCUAAUUGUAGUUUGGUUAAAGUUGAAUAGUCAAUGCUUUGCAUUUUUCUUUUUAAACGCCAAAUUGGUGUAAAAAUAUUGUCUUUCUGGACUCUUUGUGAAUGCAAUGUGUGUACUAGUUUGUGGGAGUACUACUACAUAUGUAAAAAGAGAGGUGUAAAUUAUUUUGUGGUUUAAAGGAUGCUGCAUGUAAAUUGUUACCCUUUAAAUUUUGGAUGUCAAAUCUAUUUAGAAGUUUGAUUGUACUUCAGAAGCCUACCUCGUUCACCUCUUGGUUACAUUCCACCGAGUGUUUAUUAAUUAUUGUCCUUUUUAUAAAUGUUCUUCUUAAAAAUCUUAUUAUGGUAAGGAUAAUGUAUUUGUUCCCUUCAGGUAUCUGCCACUGCAGCUGACGUUGAGACAACUCUCAGUCUUCCUGCAAAUACUCGCCUGAUACCUGUUUCAAGUGCAACAAGGCAAGUCACAAUUAAAGGUUGGAUGAUCACCUUUAAGGGCUGUGUAAUCUCUAUGGGCAUAACACCAACAUUUGCAAUUGGACUUGCUGCUAUGUUUGCAACCUACUACAUUUUCAGCCUUCAGUAUCAAGAUGAGACAGCCUGCCCUCUGGAAUUCAAAAUUAAUGUGUUUGUAUUUUAUGCAUAAAAUGAAAUUAGUACUGUACAUUUCAAGCCUCAACAUUUACACACCUACACACACACACACGCACACACACACACAGACACACGCACACGCACACACACACACAGACACACGCACACACACACACACACACACACACACACACACACACACACACACACACACACACAUACAGGGUAUAGACUUUAUUAUAAUUCCACUUGAUGUCAUCAAAUCCACUCAAUUUGUGCAAUGAAGAAAGACAAAAAACAAUUAAUUGCUUUUGAUUUCAGGCGCUUCAUUGAUAUAAAUCCAGAGAGAGGGACAAAUGCCAAAAUCAUCAGACAAGAUUGUCUCUUAGAUAUAAGGUGUGAUCGUCCAGAAGUCGUCUUCUGCAGUCAAAUACACACGUGGCCAUGCUACUGAAGGAUCUCCUUGACUUUUUAAUGGAACUUCAUAUAGAUCUUGACAGCACUGGAAUAAUGCUGCAGAGAGGAACAGCGGCUACUAAAGUGAUGAUCGUCUCUUCUGGAUCCACAAGAACUAAGAUGUAAAAACACAAGCCUACCUCACAGGACAAUUUUAAGAGGUAACCUGCAAGUCUAGCUUGCAGUGGCACAGGUGCCUACCCUACGGUUUCAUCCUAAAUGUUUUUUUAUGCAUAUUAUUGAUACAUCCUGACAAAAUGUUCUACUGUACUAUAAUAGUUUCAAAAUGGCCUUAGGUAUGUUUUCAAACUUAUGUCUUAAAUAAAAAAGUAAACUAUAGGUUAUGCCCUUCACAUUUGGUUAGGAUUAGGGGCAGUCUCUGACGAGCAAUUUAAGAACGUACGUUUAUUGCCAUAGUCUAAAGCAAAACACUACUGUUUCUGUUUACUACUUGAAAGCUCUUUUCAGCAUUGUCCAACAGGAUUUAUUUUCUUUCCUUUUUUUGUAUUCAUGUUGACAUAGACAUUGCUCUUUGAAAUAAAGGUGUUUGAUUUGGAAGUUUUUGUUGCUUAUUUUGCAUAAUAUUCACAAUAAUGCAUAUCUUAAGCAGUUGUCUUUAGCCCUGGAAAAUCAUUGGGCAAGUUCAUGGGAGACUGAUAUUUUAAAUAUCAAUGAAAAAUUUUUAGAGACUAAAUUUAUGUUAUUUAAA